GUAUCUCUCUCUUCUUUAUUUUGAAAAGAAUUUUUGUAAAGAACAAUCCAUUGUAUAAUUAUUGGUUUGUUUCCCAAUUUUGGAUAAUGUAUUGGUAUGCAUCUAUGUUGUAUUUUACUUAAUCAUAUAAACAUUUUUUGGCUCCUUCAUCACAGCAUUUUGCUUGGAUAAUGCAAAUACAUUUAUGUUUGAGCUCACUUAAAAAAACCUUUGUGUUUACCUUUAAUUCAUCCAUAAACUUCAGUGCAGCCAGCAAUGUUUGUUAUAGUGGAUUCAGUAGGUACCGAGAGGAUCAAAUUGUAAACAUUUUAAAACAGCAAUGCCUUAGCACAAAGUGUUGGACAUGCUUUGAAUUCUAUACAAUGAUAUACUGUAUCUCUACAGAACUGUCAGGGUGAAGAAAGGGAGUAUUGCAACAGUUAUAAACAUAUCACAUACAGGCAUUUAUUCAGACAAAUAGAGAUGUUGCUAGGUGUCAUUUUAAACCUCAACUAUUUAUGAUUUUGGUAGAUAGUUGAAAACAGAAUGCAUUUAUACCUCAGAAAUGUAAAAACAACCAACAGUACAUUGUCAAUGGUUAGUGUAUCAGGACUAGCAUAAGCACACGAAACACUGAUAGUUCUCAUUAUUUUUAUUUCAUAUUUAAUCAUUUUAUUCAUAAAUGCUAGAACAGCUAAAAGGAAACUAAGCUUGUUUCAUUGUGAAGGUUUUUAAAAUAUUUUG
This 723-nucleotide long non-coding RNA is filed under the name Bos taurus (domestic cattle). RNAcentral's name for it is "long non-coding RNA NONBTAT020578". Lineage: Eukaryota; Metazoa; Chordata; Mammalia; Artiodactyla; Bovidae. The record is from RNAcentral.